GCGGUGGAUGAUGUGGUUUAAUUCGAUGCAACGCGAAAACCUUACCCACCUUUGACAUGGCAGGAAUCCCGAAGAGAUUUGGGAGUGCUCGAAAGAGAACCUGCACACAGGUGCUGCAUGGCUGUCGUCAGCUCGUGUCGUGAGGAUGUUGGGUUAAGUCCCGCAACGAGCGCAACCCUUGUCAUUAGUUGCUACGAAAGGGCACUCUAAUGGGACUGCCGGUGACAAACCGGAGGAAGGUGGGGAUGACGUCAAGUCCUCAUGGCCCUUAUAGGUGGGGCUACACACGUCAUACAAUGGCCGGUACAGAGGGUAGCCAACCCGCGAGGGGGAGCCAAUCCCACAAAGCCGGUCGUAGUCCGGAUCGCAGUCUGCAACUCGACUGCGUGAAGUUGGAAUCGCUAGUAAUCGCGGAUCAGCAUGUCGCGGUGAAUACGUUCCCGGGUCUU
RNAcentral lists this ribosomal RNA (449 nucleotides) under uncultured Allobrachymonas sp. RNAcentral describes it as "bacterial SSU rRNA". It matches the Rfam family "Bacterial small subunit ribosomal RNA", at positions 929 to 1382 of the family's 1533-position model. Lineage: Bacteria; Pseudomonadati; Pseudomonadota; Betaproteobacteria; Burkholderiales; Comamonadaceae. The record is from RNAcentral.